Molecule: ribosomal RNA, 712 nt
Filed under: uncultured fungus
Lineage: Eukaryota; Fungi
Description: SSU rRNA
Rfam family: Eukaryotic small subunit ribosomal RNA
Source: RNAcentral
UAGAGGCCUACCAUGGUGGUAACGGGUAACGGGGUGUUAGGGCACGACACCGGAGAGGGAGCCUGAGAAACGGCUACCACAUCCAAGGAUGGCAGCAGGCGCGCAAAUUACCCAAUCCCGACACGGGGAGGUAGUGACAAUAAAUAACAAUACGGGGUUCUUUUGGAUCUCGUAAUUGGAAUGAGUACAAUUUAAAUCUCUUAACGAGGAACAAUUGGAGGGCAAGUCUGGUGCCAGCAGCCGCGGUAAUUCCAGCUCCAAUAGCGUAUAUUAAAGUUGUUGCAGUUAAAAAGCNNNUAGUUGAAUUUCGGGGUUAGUAGGUUGGUCAUGCCUCCGGUAUGUACUGAUCUCACUGAUUCCUCCUUCCUUAUGAACCGUAAUGCCAUUAAUUUGGUGUUGCGGGGAAUUUGGACUGUUACUUUGAAAAAAUUAGAGUGUUUAAAGCAGGCUAACGCUUGAAUACAUUAGCAUGGAAUAAUGAAAUAGGACGUUCGAUCUUAUUUUGUUGGUUUCUAGGAUUGACGUAAUGAUUAAUAGGGAUAGUUGGGGGCAUUAGUAUUCAAUUGUCAGAGGUGAAAUUCUUGGAUUUAUUGAAGACUAACUACUGCGAAAGCAUUUGCCAAGGAUGUUUUCAUUAAUCAAGAACGAAAGUUAGGGGAUCGAAGACGAUCAGAUACCGUCGUAGUCUUAACCAUAAACUAUGCCGACUAGG